This is a non-coding RNA of Caenorhabditis elegans, 73 nucleotides long. The record is from the annotation of a RefSeq genome assembly. NCBI's taxonomy places the organism in Eukaryota, Metazoa, Nematoda, Chromadorea, Rhabditida, Rhabditidae.
GCGGAAGUAGCUCAGUCGGUAAUGGUGGUAGCUAGUAGUCUAGAGGUCACAGGUUCAAGUCCUGCCUCCCUCC